UUGCCGUUGAGUUGGUGAGUGUGGUUCGGGAGCCGAGCUAGCUCGAAUAAAGACUCUUUGCUUUUGCAUCAGACUUGGCUGGCUCCCUGGUGGGCUUUUGGGGAUCUUGAAAUCUGGGCAUAACAUUUGGGGGCUUGCCAGGAUCCCCAAGACCCUCGAGGGACCCCCGAUCCGGAGUGUCUGACUGGCCACGAUGUGCAGGGUGGAGCCCAAGACUGAUCAUUUACCCCCCAAAAAAUAAAGAGAUGCUAGCUAGAUUCUAGCAGAAGGAUUGGCGUUUCCAUAAUAAAGAACAGUUUUUAAAUGCUAAAGAAGAAUGUUAAGGCUGGCUUCCCAAGGUCAAUUGUGGUCAAUUUACAUCUGAAAAGACCAGGUAGGCCAGAACCUGUUUUGCAAGGCUCAAAUGUGGUUUUCCAGAGCCGCUUGAAAGUAAAAAGUAAAGUUUACUCUAAUUUGCCUCAUGAAAAAUCUAAAGAACAGAAUUAAAUCUAUUGGUUGAAUAUUGAGAAAUGCUGAAUAUUUAACUUGCCAGCUAAAAGUUUAAGGUUCUGAUUGAAUUGGGAAAAAUUAUAUAAUUGUAAUAACUAAAUGCCUUUGCUUAUUGGUCUGAUUGAAAAGGGAGGAUUAAUUUUGUGAUCUCAACUGAAGAUUUUUGCUUUAAAAUGAUUAUAAAAGGUAUAAACAGCUAAUAAGAUUUCUGUUUGUCUACAAUAGAGCCACAUGACUUGCCGCUCCCCUGGGAGCUGCCAUCUUGAAACAGCAAAGGCGCCUCCCUCAGGUUUAGUCAGGGGUGGAGCUUUAAGGGGGAGUUUUGCUGCAAAAAUGUGAAUGGGGCCAAAACCCGUUUGGCUCAGUGGAUAGAGUAGCAUCGGCCUGUGGACUCAAGGGUCCCGGGUUCGAUUCCGGUCAAGGGCAUGUACCUUGGUUGCAGGCACGUCCCCACUGGG
Myotis daubentonii (Daubenton's bat) is the source of this 947-nucleotide long non-coding RNA. RefSeq lists it as uncharacterized. The record is from RefSeq and is a predicted model, not a curated record. Lineage: Eukaryota; Metazoa; Chordata; Mammalia; Chiroptera; Vespertilionidae.